GAUGAACGCUGGCGGCGUGCCUAAUACAUGCAAGUCGAGCGAACGGACGAGAAGCUUGCUUCUCUGAUGCUAGCGGCGGACGGGUGAGUAACACGUGGAUAACCUACCUAUAAGACUGGGAUAACUUCGGGAAACCGGAGCUAAUACCGGAUAAUAUUUUGAACCGCAUGGUUCAAAAGUGAAAGACGGUCUUGCUGUCACUUAUAGAUGGAUCCGCGCUGCAUUAGCUAGUUGGUAAGGUAGCGGCUUACCAAGGCAACGAUGCAUAGCCGACCUGAGAGGGUGAUCGGCCACACUGGAACUGAGACACGGUCCAGACUCCUACGGGAGGCAGCAGUAGGGAAUCUUCCGCAAUGGGCGAAAGCCUGACGGAGCAACGCCGCGUGAGUGAUGAAGGUCUUCGGAUCGUAAAACUCUGUUAUUAGGGAAGAACAUAUGUGUAAGUAACUGUGCACAUCUUGACGGUACCUAAUCAGAAAGCCACGGCUAACUACGUG
Molecule: ribosomal RNA, 497 nt
Filed under: uncultured bacterium
Lineage: Bacteria
Description: partial 16S ribosomal RNA
Rfam family: Bacterial small subunit ribosomal RNA
Source: RNAcentral